CCAGGCGGCCGGGUGACCGCUGGCCCGGGAGUGAUCCCGGGCUGGAGGAAAGUCCGGGCUCCACGGAUAGACGGUGCCGGUUAACGACCGGCGGGGUGGCCUUCGGGCUGCUUCAGGGACAGUGCCACAGAAAGCAAACCGCCCGGGUCCGCCCGGGUCAGGGUGAAAGGGUGCGGUAAGAGCGCACCGCGCUGCCGGCAACGGCGGCGGCAAGGCAAACCCCACCGGGAGCAAGGCCGAAUAGGGGCAGCCGUGCGCAAGCACAGGGGUAUCCGCCCCGCUGCCCGGGUUGGCCGCGUGAGGUGUGUCGCGAGACACAUCCCAGAGGAAUGGUCAUCCAUGUGGGUUAUCCACAGGACAGAACCCGGCUUACAGGCCGCCUGGCGCU
RNAcentral lists this RNase P RNA (388 nucleotides) under Rhodovarius crocodyli. RNAcentral describes it as "Bacterial RNase P class A". It matches the Rfam family "Bacterial RNase P class A". Rfam says of the family: Ribonuclease P (RNase P) is a ubiquitous endoribonuclease, found in archaea, bacteria and eukarya as well as chloroplasts and mitochondria. Its best characterised activity is the generation of mature 5'-ends of tRNAs by cleaving the 5'-leader elements of precursor-tRNAs. Cellular RNase Ps are ribonucleoproteins. The record is from Rfam by way of RNAcentral. Lineage: Bacteria; Pseudomonadati; Pseudomonadota; Alphaproteobacteria; Acetobacterales; Roseomonadaceae.